This 511-nucleotide ribosomal RNA is filed under the name Carabdytes upin. RNAcentral describes it as "partial 16S ribosomal RNA". It matches the Rfam family "Bacterial large subunit ribosomal RNA", at positions 1830 to 2600 of the family's 2925-position model. Lineage: Eukaryota; Metazoa; Arthropoda; Insecta; Coleoptera; Dytiscidae. The record is from RNAcentral.
GUCCUUUUGAGUUUUAUUUAAGGUUUAACCUGCCCACUGAAUUUUGAAGGGCCGCAGUAAUUUGACUGUGCAAAGGUAGCAUAAUCAUUAGUUUUUUAAUUAAAAGCUUGUAUGAAGGGUUGGACGAGAUAAAAUCUGUCUUUAUUUAAGUUAUAGUAGAAUUUAAUUUUUAAGUUAAAAAGCUUAAAUUUAUUUAAAAGACGAGAAGACCCUAUAGAUCUUUAUAUAAAUUUUUAUAGUUUUAAUUAAGAAUAUUUUAUUUAUUAUUAAAAUUUAUAUUUUAUUGGGGUAAUAAAAAGAUUAAAUAAAUUCUUUUUUGAAUUAAACAUUGAUUUAUGAUUAGUUGAUCCAAUAUUUUUGAUUAAAAGAUUAAGUUACCUUAGGGAUAACAGCGUAAUUUUUUUAGAGAGUUCAUAUCGAUAAAAAAGUUUGCGACCUCGAUGUUGGAUUAAAAAUUAUCUUAGGUGCAGAAGUUUAAGAUUUUGGUCUGUUCGACCAUUGAAUUUUUACA